Molecule: ribosomal RNA, 928 nt
Filed under: Cortinarius porphyroideus
Lineage: Eukaryota; Fungi; Basidiomycota; Agaricomycetes; Agaricales; Cortinariaceae
Also listed under: 1 other name
Description: eukaryotic LSU rRNA
Rfam family: Eukaryotic large subunit ribosomal RNA
Source: RNAcentral
AUAUCAUAGCGAGAAAAGAAACUAACAAGGAUUCCCCUAGUAACUGCGAGUGAAGCGGGAAAAGCUCAAAUUUAAAAUCUGUCAGCCUUUGGCUGUCCGAGUUGUAAUCUAGAGAAGUGUUAUCCGCGCUGGACCGUGUACAAGUCUCCUGGAAUGGAGCGUCAUAGAGGGUGAGAAUCCCGUCUUUGACACGGACUGCCAGGGCUUUGUGAUGCGCUCUCAAAGAGUCGAGUUGUUUGGGAAUGCAGCUCAAAAUGGGUGGUAAAUUCCAUCUAAAGCUAAAUAUUGGCGAGAGACCGAUAGCGAACAAGUACCGUGAGGGAAAGAUGAAAAGAACUUUGGAAAGAGAGUUAAACAGUACGUGAAAUUGCUGAAAGGGAAACGCUUGAAGUCAGUCGCGUUGUCCAGGGAUCAACCUUGCUUUUGCUUGGUGUACUUUCUGGUUAACGGGUCAGCAUCAAUUUUGACUGUUGGAAAAAGAUCAGGGGAAUGUGGCAUCUUCGGAUGUGUUAUAGCCCUUGGUUGCAUACAAUGGUUGGGAUUGAGGAACUCAGCACGCCGCAAGGCCGGGUUUUAACCACGUACGUGCUUAGGAUGCUGGCAUAAUGGCUUUAAUCGACCCGUCUUGAAACACGGACCAAGGAGUCUAACAUGCCUGCGAGUGUUUGGGUGGAAAACCCGAGCGCGUAAUGAAAGUGAAAGUUGAGAUCCUUGUCAUGGGGAGCAUCGACGCCCGGACCAGACCUUUUGUGACGGUUCCGCGGUAGAGCAUGUAUGUUGGGACCCGAAAGAUGGUGAACUAUGCCUGAAUAGGGUGAAGCCAGAGGAAACUCUGGUGGAGGCUCGUAGCGAUUCUGACGUGCAAAUCGAUCGUCAAAUUUGGGUAUAGGGGCGAAAGACUAAUCGAACCAUCUAGUAGCUGGUUCUG